CGCCACUGCAACGGUCUGCUACUCAACUGGAUGAUCAGCAGGACUUUUUCCACUGUUUCACAUGUCUGGAAGAUUUUGGCCAUUUUAAACUUCUAGACUUUGUUCAUAAACCUACUCAGCACUUGUUGCACGAAACUGGUUAUCAUACAGGUCACAGAAAAUGGGAUUCUGAUAAAGAAUCAUAAUCAUUACUUUAUGCGCGUGCCAUUUAAAAAACACAUACAAUUGUAUAUGUUUUAUAAGGAUGUUAAAUUGAUACCAUAAUGGACAAACAGUGCCAUAAAUUCACUAGUGAAGACAGCAGACACACCACAGAUGUGUUUUAUCAUCAGUGGUCCCCAACAUAAGGUUUGGGGCCCCCCACAAGGGAAAUAUAAAAUAUUUCUGCAACAAAAAGAUUUUCAUGGCUUUUUUCUUGUAAACUACCAGAGUUUUGCCUCUUCAGGUCUCAAAGAACUAUUCAAAUCAGCCAGUCUUGGAGGGAAACAUCACUUUAUGGUUGAAGUCCUCACAGCUCCAAGAUAAGAUAAGGGGUUGCAAAUAUUUAAAGGGUCAAAAAAGGCUGGGCAGUGAUUAUUCCAAGCUUAUGAUUUCCAGACUUCUGUCCUCGCACACACUUUGCAUGAAGGAAAUGCCGACUUGUGUUCAAGUUCAACAUGGUCUGUCGCAGUUUGAGUGACUUCCUUUAGCUAAAAGAAAUCCUCAGAUGAUCUUGAUGAUGAGAAUUUUCCGUGCAGAAAACACUGUUUGAAUGAGCGAAGAGGAAUUCAUUAAUGGCUUCCACUGGAUUUUGACUGACAGGCCCGGCUUUCCAAGAGUAAAUUGGUUACAUAACAUGCAGCCAGCUUUGCACUUGCGAUGGCACUGGGGCUGCUUUGUCACCGACACAGACAGGGAGACAGUGAAUCAGCCUGUCAGCCGGUAAUGAGGUCUCUUGGCCAGACGAGCGAAUCCCACGAUCGCAGCAAUGACACGGCAUUUUUUGGGAGCCCAAAGCUGAUGGGUUCCUCUUGUGAUCCAGCGAGGUCAGGGGUCAUGUGUUUUAAGCUGAGUUAUGAGAGCCAAUGGACCGCUUCCAUAGACUGGCCAGUCAUGAGACAGGGUCACACGUGCAUUUAUGUAUGCCAGCUGCCUCAUUUUCAAGCCGUUACUCUUGAUUCUGGCAAUCUUAACCAAAUUAUCCUUUCUUUCCCAUCAACAAGGCCCUCAUUUAUCCCCCAGAUGAACCCAUGUUAACAAAAUGGCACUCUGUCUGCUUGUCAUCUUUAUAGGACUCCAUUAAGUGGAGUUUAUGAUUUCCUCUUAUUAAAGUACCGCAUUCUUCUGAGGCACCCCUUUAUGGGUCCAUGUGUGUCUCUCUCUCUUCGCCUUUCUGUCAUUGUUUCCACCAAUCAGCUGGCACACAGAACGACCCCCUCCACACAUACACUCACACAAACAUGUCACAACCGUGGUAUGUUAGGCACGCAUACGCCACCCAGGGAAUGAUCUCCAUCCAGUGUGUGGGCUGAGCUUCCCACAGUGGAAUACACCCUCAGGGCUUCAAAACUGCACCCCCACCCCAUCCUAACCAACCACCACCGCUCCAUACAUUCUCCCAAACUGAGUCAAGAAGGAGAACAACAUGUUCAAAAGAUCUUUUUAACCCCCGUCUCACCGUCCAGUGCAUGCACAGCUCAAUCAUGGCUCUGGAAUUCCUCAUUGCUCUCUGAUGUGGGACGUCUGAGUCGGGUCCUCAUUCUGAUGAGGUCUAUACAUUUAGAUUGUCGGAUUUCAAAGGGAUGUUGUCGGUUGGAUCAGCACAAGAAAGAGAGGUUUUCACAGCAGGGCUUCCAAGCCCCUGCAGAGGGACUUCUGCCCAGGUUGACCUCAGGACUGUCACUCAUAUACAGUGGUGGAAAUUGUUCUCUUCUUCCCUAACGCACACACCACAAUGGGAGAGGCACCGAGCUUCAGCGACAGAAUGGAAAGGAAAACACAAACAGACUCAGACGGAGCAGAUUGUUCGGCUGUUGUGCUGUCUGAGAUGUUGCGUUCUUAUCUCUGCAGCUUAAACUACGGCCAAGCUCAUCCCAGCUGUCGGAGAAGUCGAACCCUGACUAUUUACUGAGCUCCUGCCCUCCAGUGACAAUGCACCACACCCCUCCUACCAAACACACACACACACACACACACACACACACACACACACACCAGAAUGGAGGGCAGAGUUGGAGAGCAGAAAAAGGCCCCAAGCGAAAAUAAAUAAAUAUCUAGAGUCGAUACUCUGCCAUUGUGUUUAAAUGAGCCAUGUGUGGGAUGGAUUCAUUGACUGUGCACCUCUUACUGCGCUGAAAAAAGACAGCCAGUUCACUUCUGUUGUUGACUCCUCAUUCCCUGUUUGAUUACACUGAAUUGCACUCUAAGCGCACAAGAACACAGUGGCACACACAGUUACAUGCCUGGUUCAAUUAGGAUGAGGGCACUGUUAACUUGUUUACACAGACAUUUAUUAUAAUAAUAACUAUGUGAUAAUUUGUUCUAAUUUCCCGGCCCUCCUCCACAGGGAUCUGAGUGCAGGUUCAGUUGCAGAGGCACAGAGUCAAUGACACAUAUGGAAAGUGGAUGUUUGCCGAUAAGAUGCAGUCCUCCAGCUGAGGGCUGGCCUUCCCACUCACAAGGUGACAAAACUCAACUCAGCCAGUGAAGAAAAAUCUGAUUUUUGUGUAGUUCACUCAGCUUUGGCAUGAUUCAUUAUUUGGUUGUCAUUUUGCUCCAGUAUUCCAUUUCAUCCAUCUGCCAUUGCAGCUGUGUUGUCAUGGAGCAUCAUUGCAGUGUGUUGCGCUUGUUUGUGAGUGACCUAUUUAUAACCCAGCCCCUCUAUCUCCUGCUUCCAAUUCUCUUUCUUGUCCUCCUCCAGUUUAUCAAAACAUGGUUACAUAAAAACAGCUCUCUUUGAGCCAGCCCUGGGUCAUCGCUGUGGCAUGAACAUCUUUGUGAGUUAUUAAAUAAUUCAGAAGACGGGGUGAGGUGUUGAGUCUGGGUUAUUUAAAUUUCACUCUGAAGAGAUAUUCUUAGCUCAAAAGUGGCAUAACGGAGACAUGUAACGUGUCACAUGGUUAUUUGAAAUAUUAACAGUCACCAUGAAACUUAACCUAGAGCAUUUUCAUCUUCCAUAAUGUGAUGUAUUUCUGAACAUUUGACACAGCGACCCAGGAUUAAAACUUGGAAAAUGUC
Long non-coding RNA from Siniperca chuatsi (mandarin fish), 3216 nucleotides. RefSeq lists it as uncharacterized. Lineage: Eukaryota; Metazoa; Chordata; Actinopteri; Centrarchiformes; Sinipercidae. The transcript is spliced from 4 exons. The record is from RefSeq and is a predicted model, not a curated record.